AUUUUGUCUCACAGUGACACAUCAACCCUUUCUAAUUAAAUACACAGAGGGAGCAGCACAGGAAGAGGUCAUUCAGCCCAAGCAGAGCGUGUGGGCAGUUCCUCCCCAGGCGAGCAGUCGGACAGGUCCUGGAGUUUGAGAGUGAGAAGUGAAUGGCAUAUCUGGGAGUGGACAAUGAUCGGGAAAUCUUACUUCCUCCUGUCACUUCUCCAAGUUGGACUGUCACAAGAGUGGAAAGUUGACAC
This is a long non-coding RNA of Carcharodon carcharias (great white shark), 245 nucleotides long. RefSeq lists it as uncharacterized. The record is from RefSeq and is a predicted model, not a curated record. The transcript has 3 exons. NCBI's taxonomy places the organism in Eukaryota, Metazoa, Chordata, Chondrichthyes, Lamniformes, Lamnidae.